RNAcentral lists this ribosomal RNA (504 nucleotides) under uncultured bacterium. RNAcentral describes it as "bacterial SSU rRNA". It matches the Rfam family "Bacterial small subunit ribosomal RNA", at positions 107 to 607 of the family's 1533-position model. The record is from RNAcentral.
UGAGUAAUGCCUAGGAAUCUGCCUGGUAGUGGGGGACAACGUUUCGAAAGGAACGCUAAUACCGCAUACGUCCUACGGGAGAAAGCAGGGGACCUUCGGGCCUUGCGCUAUCAAAUGAGCCUAGGUCGGAUUAGCUAGUUGGUGAGGUAAUGGCUCACCAAGGCGACGAUCCGUAACUGGUCUGAGAGGAUGAUCAGUCACACUGGAACUGAGACACGGUCCAGACUCCUACGGGAGGCAGCAGUGGGGAAUAUUGGACAAUGGGCGAAAGCCUGAUCCAGCCAUGCCGCGUGUGUGAAGAAGGUCUUCGGAUUGUAAAGCACUUUAAGUUGGGAGGAAGGGCAGUAAGUUAAUACCUUGCUGUUUUGACGUUACCGACAGAAUAAGCACCGGCUAACUCUGUGCCAGCAGCCGCGGUAAUACAGAGGGUGCAAGCGUUAAUCGGAAUUACUGGGCGUAAAGCGCGCGUAGGUGGUUUGUUAAGUUGGAUGUGAAAGCCCCGGG